GUGGGGAAUAUUGGACAAUGGGCGAAAGCCUGAUCCAGCCAUGCCGCGUGUGUGAAGAAGGUCUUCGGAUUGUAAAGCACUUUAAGUUGGGAGGAAGGGCAUUAACCUAAUACGUUAGUGUUUUGACGUUACCGACAGAAUAAGCACCGGCUAACUUCGUGCCAGCAGCCGCGGUAAUACGAAGGGUGCAAGCGUUAAUCGGAAUUACUGGGCGUAAAGCGCGCGUAGGUGGUUCGUUAAGUUGGAUGUGAAAGCCCCGUGCUCAACCUGGGAACUGCAUCCAAAACUGGCGAGCUAGAGUACGGUAGAGGGUGGUGGAAUUUCCUGUGUAGCGGUGAAAUGCGUAGAUAUAGGAAGGAACACCAGUGGCGAAGGCGACCACCUGGACUGAUACUGACACUGAGGUGCGAAAGCGUGGGGAGCAAACAGGAUUAGAUACCCCGGUAGUCC
Molecule: ribosomal RNA, 450 nt
Filed under: uncultured bacterium
Lineage: Bacteria
Description: partial 16S ribosomal RNA
Rfam family: Bacterial small subunit ribosomal RNA
Source: RNAcentral